UCACUAUUUUUAUUUCACUGUGAUCUGAAAGUGUGGUUGGUAUGAUCUCGAUUUUUUUGAAUUUAUUGAGAAUCACUUUAUGGCUGAGCUUGUGGUUAAUCUUACAAUAUGUUCCAUAUGCAUAUCAGAAGAAUGUACAUCCUGUGUUUGAUGGGUAUUCUGUAGACGUCCAAUUGGUUGAGUCACAUUGAAGUCUAGAAUUAAAUUUAAAUCAAAUUUAAGUCCAGAAUUUCUUUGUUAGUUUUUCUGCAUCUAUGAUCUAAUGCUGUCAAUGAGGUAUUGAAGUCUCCAACUAUUACCGUGUGACUAAGUCUUUUCAUAGGUCUAGAAGGUUUUAUGAGUCUGGGUGCGCCAAUGUUGGGUGUGUAUAUAUUUAGGAUAGUUAAGUCUUCUUGUGGAAUUGAACUCUUUAUCAUUGUGUACUAUCCUUCUUUAUCCUUUUUUUUUUUAACUGCUGUUGGUUUAAAGUCUAUUUUAUUUUAUAUAGGAAUAGUGACUUUGGUUAAAUAAUUUUUGAAAAUUUAAUCUGAGAUGAUUACCAAAUAGGGUUGCAUAUUAAUCUGAUUAACAAGGGGCAAGGAGUCUAGUCAGUAAACAAUUUGCAAGCCAUGACGUAAUUAGGUAAAAUGUUAAAUAGAGUUAAACUCGCUCCAAUUUAGUGACAUCUGUAAUCCAUUCAUUUUAAUUGAUUCAGCAGUUACUAUAUGCCAGACUGUACAGAUGCAGACUUUAAGCAGAUGAAAUCUCCAUCUUUGAGAUACUCACAGUCCAAUGGAGGGGGCAGGUGAGUCCACGUACAGGAAACAGCACGUGAAGACUGGAGGAGAGCUGUUUUUGUGAUGCACAGGAAAAUAGAGGAGCAUGUGCUUGACUCCACCAGUCAUUGGUGGCUCUCUUAAUACUGUUUUCUGUUUAAUCAUCAUCUUUAACUGCUAAUCAAAAAGUUCAUUCCACAAGUAUUUAAAGUUAAUUUAAAGAAGUGUCAGACACUGUUCAAACACUGAGACAAAAGGACAAGUGAUUUGCGUCUUUAAUGCCUUGUUCCCUUGAAACCAACCUAACCUACAUGAUUGGCAGUUGGGCAAGGGGAAGAGGGGAACUCCCUCAAUUUUUUCUGCCCUCCCUUCUCACCUAUCCUCCUGUGAGCAUUCUGUGUUUUACCUUUUACUGUUCUGUUCUCUCCUUUUUAGAUAGAGCUGUCUGGUUUGUUCUAGAAAUUAGUCAUUUUGGGUUAUGAGGUGAAGUACCUCCUAUGGAGAUGAGAGAUUUCUGGAAAUAUGAUUGCCAUGGAUUAGUGGAGAGAUUCUGCCUCUAGGUAGAGCCUUGUUUGGGUGAGAAAUGCUGAUGAGUUAACAGAGCUGAGCAUUCUGGAGCCAUGGAAUGCUGACCAUCCCCUUCAGGCUUCAUGGGGUCUAGAGGAGCAAAAAUCUAAAAGUCAUCAGAAAGUCUGUCCUUCUUCCUUUGCUGAAGGUAAGCAAUGGGAUAAUCUCACUGCUGAGAAAACAGUGUCUUAGUUGCAACCAAUUCUGUGGUCUCUCUGUCUGACAGGGAAAAGGUGGCUUCAUAAUAAAUGAUGAAUAUUACCAACAUUUAUCAACUACUUCCCAUGUGCCAGGUAUCUAAAUUCACUAUUUUAUUUAAUCCUCACAACCACUUUAUGGUAUCCUAUUACUAUACUCAUCUUCACAGAUAAAGAAAGCCCAGAGACACUGAUUUGUCUGUGGUCAUAGAGUUAGGAUGCGGCAGAACUAUGAUUCACAUGUUUUUCUCUCUGGAAGAAUCUAGCAACUCUGUGCUUAAAUGUUGCUCUCCAAUGUCUCACAAAUAGGAUCUGAAUGUCCAUGCUCAUGUUGUCUAGCUGUGUGAUCUUGGGGGGAAUCAUUUAACUUCUCCGAGUUUCAGUUUCUUCAUCUAUAAAAUGGAGGCAACAUCCCCUGAAUCAUAGGGUUUUUGGGAGAAUUCUAUGGGAUAAUACAUGUAAAACAAUAGAAUAAUGGUUGACCCGUAGAAAGUGUCUGACAAAUACUUCCCUCUAUUUCUACUGCCUCAUCUGUGGCAGGGAUAACUGCCUUCCAAGUUGGUUACAACAUCAAGGGUCUAAGGAUCCUCGAUAUGUUUAAUAUAAGGUAGUGAAGACACUCUCUUUUUUUUUGUCUGUGUACCAUGUCAUAUGCCUGGAAUGUUCCCUCUUGUUUACUCCAUCUGUAAGCUGUAAAUCAUGGCCCAUUAGUGAGUUAUUAAAUCAAGUUAAUGAGCUAUGAUCUCCAUUUUUUAAAAAGGAGAGAAACAAAUAGAACGGAAAAUAACAAAGUACACUGUAUACAAAAGGUGUUAUUCCUAUUUAACAAAACUUUUCUGUUUUAUGUGUGUAUGUAUUUACUGGGUCAGGAUAAAGAAUGUACUUCUUACUUUGCAUCUAAAUAUUUGAAAGGCUCUCGGUUACCUCAUAUAAGAGCUUCAAGAAUUAUUCGGAUAUGCUUCCAUGGAAGCAAUCAAGAUUCCAGGCCUUUCUAGAACUAACAGAUCUUUUCAUAUCACAUUGCAUUUAAUUAUCUUCCCUUCAUCUGUCUUCCCCAGCAGACAUAAGUUUCUUGCAGACAGGAAACAUGACUGUUACUGCUGUGUCCUCAGUGUCCAUUAUAGGUCCUUGCACAUAAUAUAUACUCAAAAAUGUUUGAUGAAGGCCUGAAUAAAUCACGGCAACUGUUUCUUAAAUCCACAUUCAAAACUCAGAGGUUAUUUGCCUGAACUCUCAAAAUCGAUAUCUUUUAUUAACAAAUGAACAGGGCUAAGUUUUUCUUUUACAUUAUUUCCUGUGACCUUUUUCUCCUUCCCCUUGGUGGAAUGAUUUGCUUUUUUUCCUUGCCCUCCUGGGUAUUCUAACUUUCCUUUUAUCAAAACAAAGGAUUAGAAAUUUGCACUUUUGUAUAAAUUUAAUCCCCCAUAUCUUUGGCUUCUCCUAGUAGCAUUUAUACAAAAGAUGCAUCCCUGUUACUAGCAGGAAAAGCCUUGUUAGUUCUUUAUUAUACCAGCUUUUAUCAGCUAAUAGGUAAGAAGGGAAAGGGAUAUUUGAGAGGGAGGGAGAUCUUCAUGAGCUCAUAAACUCACUCUUCCAAGGCAGUUGCCUGCCGUCUCUGCCCACAACAAAAGCCUCAAAAUACAUGCAAUAAAAUUCAUAUUCCAGUAGCUCACGAGCCUAAAUGCAUCUAUGUUUGAAGCAUUGAUAAUGUACUUGUGCAUCAUUUUGAAAAACAUUUUAUUCAUAUUUGUAACUUUACUUUUAAAUUAACUACAUGUUUCACAGUCUUCUACCACUAUAUGUUUCACAAUGCAGGAAAUACACAAUACAAGUAGCAUAUUAAAUCAAACAUACCCAAAUCAUUCCCAUAGAACAUGAACAGUUAACAUUAGCAAUAAUCAAUUCCGCUUGCACAGCACCACUAAAGUACUUCAAGCACUUCACACAAAAGAUUAAAGAAAAAAACUAUAAUUAGAUUAGAAAAUAGAGAGAGUUGGCUCAUGUUUAAAAUACCGCCUGGCUCAGAUAGUGCUGGUUACCACUCCCUUCAAAAUUUCAGGUAAACGAAUUGCCACCACCUGGGAAGAUCAUUUCUAGUGGGGAAAUGAAGGCAGCUUCUGCAAGACCCCAGGAAGUAAAAUAGGAAUAAGAAUUGGACCUACCUCAAGAUCUGUUGAGAAGAUUAUGAGAGAGCUGAUGGAUCUAAAAGAUUGGCGCUUGAUAGAAUUGGGAUCAUUUGUUUUGACUAGAACAAUCUCUUGCAGCUUGGAUGGAGAAACUUUAAAGAGGUUUCAGCCAAACACUUAGCAAUUCUUUAAUGUGUGAAAUAAAUUUGUACAACAAAAGGCUAAAAAUUUGGGAGAUGCAGGAUGACUGAAGCCCGAUUCUGGGGGUUGUUAUAGCACAGUUACAGGGAUAUCCUCAGGUGUCUGGUGAUCCUUGCUUAUAAGGCCAAACUAAUAAUGAGGCACUAAAAUGCUGAUUGGAAGCUCUCUGUGCAGGCAAGUAUUGUUGAAUAGUGGUAAACAGGUGAUGUGUUCAUUUUGGAGACACUCAAAUAUCAGGACCUAUAAAUCUCUAUGCCAAGUCAGUUUCCCCAGAGUCUCUUAAUAUCAUUUAUUUCAGGUUAAAAGCCUGGUUACCAGGUUCUGGGAGUGAAGGGAGGAGAGGGGCUUAGACAAGUGUCGGGGUGGGAGUAUGUCUCAUAAUUCACUAAGUACCUUCUUUCAUAUCUGUGUUCCCUGUGCAGCAUUUUACCCCCACCAUCAUCCAUGUCUGAUGCCUAAGGUCCAAUCUGGUUCAGUCUUUCCAAAGAGGAAACAUUGGCUGGGUGGGAAUGAUUGGCAGGUCGAAGAGAGAAUUUGAAGCUCUAGCUGCUCCUUUUAAAACUUCUAACUAAUCUUUGUGUUUUCAGGACUUCCUCACAUCCAUGUCUUCAGAUACCCAAGGCCUUUAAUACCCGAGUCCUUCCUGGAUUCUGCACAUCUCAUUAGCUUCAUAUUCCUUCUAUUUGAAAAGCUCAUAUGGACCCAGCUCUGUCAUCAUCACAUGUUCUAUGUCCCCAAACCUUGUGACAUCUGCAAAAAAGUACAGAAGACCUCAAAGAGAAGAUAUCAUAGUGCCUCAGAUUCCCUUUCAAGACUGAGACACUUUCUACUCCAGAUGCCCUUGGCUGAAGACAGCUUCUAUUUAAACAGCCUAAAACUUUAUGGAGGAAGAUAUUAUGUCUUAUUUAACUGUGCACACUCAGCUCUUAGUACAAAGGCUGCAUCAUAUCUAAAUGUAACAACUACAAACUGAAGAAACCUGCCAUGGGGGUGACAAAAGUGGAUUUGGAGUGAAUCUCCCUUGCUGUUCUCUCCUCCUCCAGAGAUAGAAGACACAAUUCACAAAUAGACCAUCUUUCAAAUGCAAGCAACAGUCCCUCCUCUCUGCCUCCUGUGUCCAUAUAUAAUUCUCUUAAACAGCAUAAAUCUCAUUUCUAUGCA
Non-coding RNA from Macaca mulatta (Rhesus monkey), 5007 nucleotides. NCBI's taxonomy places the organism in Eukaryota, Metazoa, Chordata, Mammalia, Primates, Cercopithecidae. The record is from RefSeq and is a predicted model, not a curated record.